Molecule: ribosomal RNA, 1122 nt
Filed under: Micrathyria didyma
Lineage: Eukaryota; Metazoa; Arthropoda; Insecta; Odonata; Libellulidae
Description: partial 16S ribosomal RNA
Source: RNAcentral
UUUGAUUUUAGUAUAUUAUUGAUAAAAUUAUUUUUGUUAUAGUAAAUUAGUACUGUGAAGGAAUUGUUGAAAUAAAUUACAUUUAAUUUUAUAUAAGUAUAUUUUAUUUAUAGUACCUUUUGUAUCAGGGUUGAUCAAUUAAUUCAAUUUAUNGUUUANUCUCGAUUUCAGAAGAGCUAAUUUUUUUAUUAUAGUUAAUGUUUCAUAAUUAUUAUUAAUAUAAAUUAGUAGAGAAAUUUUAUUCGAUUUUAAAGGUAUCUAGUUUUUUAAUAAAUAAAUUUAAUUUAGCUUUAUUAAUUAACUUUUAUAUUGUUUUAUAAGUUAUUUAUUAAGAGUAAAAUUAUAGGGGAUAAGCUCUAUAUUUUUCUAUAAAAAUCAAUAAAAUUUAUUUUUGUAGGGUUAAAAUUAUCUAUCAUUAGUAAGUUUGUUAUAAUUUAUAUAUUUUAAUUAUUAAUUUUAGGAUUUUUAGUAUAUUAUUAAAAUAUUAUAAUUAAUUUUAUAUUUUAAGUAAUAAUGAUUAAAUUAGUAUAAGAAUUUGUUUAAAAUGUUGUUUAUUUUAUAAUAAUAUAAGGAACUCGGCAAAUAUAGUUCUCGCCUGUUUAACAAAAACAUGUCCUUUUGAGUUUUAUAGAAGGUCUGACCUGCCCAGUGAUAAAUUUAACGGCCGCGGUAUACUGACCGUGCAAAGGUAGCAUAAUCAUUAGUCUUUUAAUAGAGGGCUGGAAUGAAAGGUUUAACGAGGAAUUGACUGUCUCAUAUUAUUUGUUUUAAAAAUUAAUUUUUUAGUUAAAAAGCUAAAAUUUUAUUGGAAGACGAGAAGACCCUAUAGAUCUUUAUAAUAUACUAUUUAUUUAUUUUUAUAUAAUUAUUUUUAAAUUAUUAUUUUAUUUUGUUGGGGUGACAAAAAUAUAUGAAUAACUUUUUUAUUUUAUUUACAUUGAUUUAUGAAUAUUAGAUCCAUUUUUAGUGAUUGUUAGAUUAAGUUACCUUAGGGAUAACAGCGUAAUCCUCCUCCAGAGUUCAUAUUUACAGGAUGGGCUUGCGACCUCGAUGUUGGAUUAAGAUAAUAAUUAGGUGUAGCCGCUUAAUUUAUAGGUCUGUUCGACCUUUAAAUUCUUACAU